Molecule: RNA transcript, 7492 nt
Organism: Hippocampus zosterae (dwarf seahorse)
Lineage: Eukaryota; Metazoa; Chordata; Actinopteri; Syngnathiformes; Syngnathidae
Gene: ablim1a
Gene name: actin binding LIM protein 1a
Exons: 24
Source: RefSeq, a predicted model, not a curated record
GGGGGGGGGAUUCUUAAGGACGAGCCUGGUGGAUAUCGCUGGAUUUUAUGAUGCACUUCUUGUCCAUUUGGAGUUCAUCCUUCAGAUUUGGAGCGCUUUGAGGACUGUGUUUUCGUCAUGUCAAAAGGCAGCUGCGUUUUAGAGGGGGAUUGAGCCUGACCCCUGGACGCUGGCUGACGCCUACCUGGAGUGCUUCACCCGCCUUUGUGGCGCAGUCGAGGGGGAGCAAAGCGUCAUGCCAACUCUGCCCAAUCUCAACAGCCUCGGGAGGCUAUGCAGCUCCAGCCGCAGCCACAACAUAGACCACGUGCGGGUGAAACGCAAGAGCUCCAUCAAACGCAUGUCCAUCAUUGAGGAUGGACACGUGGCCGAGGUCCUGUACCUCAUUCCGAAACAGUACAUGGAGCAGCUGCCCUACCUCAACCCAAACGACUAUUACCUGAGUGAAAGGCUACAUGAUGUUGCUUCAGUGGCUCAUGCGCAGGAUACGCAACACCACUCCACGGAGAAGCCCCUGAUCCAGUGCUAUAAGUGCAGGCAGCCAUGCAAGGGCGAGGUGCUGCGGGUUCAAAACAAACACUUUCAUCUAAAGUGCUUCACCUGUAAAGCGUGCGGAUGUGACCUGGCCCAGGGCGGCUUCUUCAUGAAGAAUGGAGAUUAUCUGUGCACAGUGGACUACCAACGCAUGCACGGUACCCGCUGCACUGGAUGUGGGGACUUUGUGGAGGGGGAAGUGGUCACUGCACUGGGCAAGACCUAUCAUCCUGCCUGCUUUGUUUGCACCGUUUGCAAACGGCCAUUCCCAGCCGGAGACAGGGUGACCUUCAACGGGAAGGACUGUCUGUGUCAGUACUGUGUUGAGCCAAUGUCUCCAGGACCAAAAGACAUCUUAGGUGCCAGCAAUUGUGCAGGAUGCGGUCGAGAUAUUAAGAAUGGACAGGCUCUCCUAGCAUUAGACAAACAGUGGCAUCUCGGCUGCUUCAAGUGCAAGGCCUGCGGUAAAGUGCUAACCGGAGAGUACAUCAGCAAGGAUGGUGCACCGUACUGUGAGAAGGACUACCAGAUUCAUUUUGGAGUCCAGUGUGAAGCGUGUCAUCAAUUCAUCACAGGCAAAGUACUUGAGGCUGGAGAUAAACAUUACCACCCCAGCUGUGCGAGAUGCAGCAGGUGCAAUCAGAUGUUUACGGAAGGAGAGGAGAUGUACCUACAAGGAUCAACAGUGUGGCAUCCCGGCUGCAAGAACACGACUAGAACAGAGGAGAGACACAGGGAGAGGCUACUGCCUCCGUCCCUCUUAUUUCUUCAAAAAACAGAAAGGCAGCCAACGAGAUCGUCAUCUGAGAGUAUUUGUUCCAGACCUGGUUCAAGCAUACCUGGCUCACCGGGUCACACGAUCUAUGCAAAAGUAGACAAUGAGAUUCUUGAUUACAGAGACCUAGCUGCCAUUCCAAAAGUCAAAGCCAUUUAUGACAUUGAGCGCCCUGACCUUAUUACCUAUGAACCUAUGUACACCACCUCCUUGGAGGAGAGAGAGGAGAGAAGAGAAAGUGUAGGAGAGCUUCUUCAUGCCAGGAAGGAGCGUUCACCCUUGCCUGAUGAAAAGUCUUUUAGAACCAUGUCUCCAACUCUAUCCAAUGAGGGAUGUUAUGACAAAAGAGAACGCAUUCUCCAGAGGUCCACCAGUCAGGGCUCCUUAGGCUCGCCAGUUUAUAAUCGCCAUGGCUACACCCCCACUCUGUCACGGUCCCCGCAGCAUUUUCACAGGCCAGCUCUGACAGGCAUGCAGAAACUCUGCUCCUCCUUGUGCAGUAACAGUGUGGGCUCCAGAAAUAGUGACUCCCGGCCCACCUCUCCUUUUAGACACCACUUCCUCCCCCAUAGUCAAGGCACUGACUCACCAAGCGGCCGGAGCUCCCCUCUCCCGCUUAGGCCCGACAGCCGGCCGGGCACCCCGCCGCUCUGUCUGACCCCUAAACAUUUUCACCUCCCAGAUCAAGGCAGUAACAUCUACAGAAAACCACCCAUCUACAAACAAUACGCUGCCAUAGCACGUCAAAGCAAGUCGGCUGAUGACAUCAUCAGAUCUGCCACCUUCCCUGCUGCCCAUGCUCCCUCUCCUGAUGACAGCUUACAGAGCGAGGGCGAUUGUUGGCCCUCCCCUAACGUUCUAUUAGGUACAGAGGGAAGAAGACGAUCCAGAGAAGAGGAGGAGGAAGAUGCCUUGAAAAGGAAGCAGCUUCAGGAAGAACAUCUCAACAAGAUCCAGUCAGGUUUGGGAAAGCUAAUUCUCAGGGAGGAGAUGGAAAAAGAGCAGAUUAGGGAACGCUACACAAGGAGUGUCUCCGCUCAGCGCUAUGACACCAAGCAGGAUAAUGGAGAUGCAGAUCCAACUUCUCCAGCGAGAACAAACUCUUUGCCUGGAUAUGGGAGGACUGAUCUUCACCGGCCCCAGUCAACAGAUUUCACACAAUACAACAGCUAUGGCGACAUGUAUGGCGGAGGCAGAGACUUUCAGGUAUGUCCCCCAUCUGCUUUUUCACAUGGCAUGCUUUCUCAUCUCGCACCACCGAUUUGCCUGCAGUAGGCAUCUUGCCCUGAAUGCACACUAUCCACUUGUGCUACAUGCUUGCAUUGUCGUCGAACAUUUUCCUGUAUCUCAUCUAGACGUCACCUACAGGGCAUGCAGUCAAUUGAAAUGCACUGCCCAGUAGCUGAGUAACUGUACUCUACGUGCAAGGUGCAAUCACCACAAUGUUUUGUUUGUCUGUCUACCGAUGUCAUGCCCCGAGCUAAAUGUUAGAGAUUAGGAAUCUGGGUUUUUUUGUUUUGUUUUUGUUCAAAAUUCACCCCAGGGACGCAUAAACCGACAUUUGAACAGCAACUGAACAUCAUGAAUUAUAGGAACCUGCGCGCUAGUCAAGCUCCUUGCUCCAUCCAGUGAAAAGUGUGCCCACUGUCAUAAAACGACAACAUACUCAUGCCAUUAACCCUUCAGUCCCGUCCCACUAUAUUAUAUUUGUGUAUGUUCUAUUCUUUAGCACAUUAAGGAUGGCCGUGCAGCACUUGCAAGGAUGGACAGGGGAGUAUCUAUGCCUAAUAUGUUGGAACCCAAAGCAAGUAUCUUCUUCUUUUUGUACUGAUGGCAACAAUGUGAACUACACUGUAUGGACAAAAGUAUUGAGACACACCACCUCGUCGGUUGCCCAAUCAAUCAGGCGUUGGACUUGACCACUGAAUAUGCUCUUGAACCUUAAUAUUGGUCCUCAUAUGUCUUGGAAUUAUUGUGUAAAACAUUGGAAUUGACCUGAAAUGAAAAAAAAUAAUAAUUAACUAAAAACCUGUGUGGCACCAUGGUGUACAGUGCAUUGUAAUAUGAAUCGGAAUGCUGUGUUUCAACUAGUGAAGGCGCAUAGAACAUAUUGAAAAGAAAAUGUUUGGGCUGACUUCCUCUUUAAGUAACACUCUUAGCCGUCUUAUAGAUUACCGUAUAAUAAACAAGAUUAACAUAGGGCGGCACUGUCACGUCAAGAAUUUCUGUGGUCGAAUCUCAAGAAUUUAGUCCCCCAAAAAUGUUGGGUUUAUUAAUGAUGUUAACGUGCUCAUUUGGGUGAAUGUGUGUGUCAAUGUUGUCAAUAGCAGGGGCCCUUGGAGACACAGUCUGGGUGUGUAUGGCCUGUAUCAAGUAUUCCAAAAAGGAGUUUAAGUAUUCCAAAAAGUACAACUAAUCCACUCUUUUCAAUCUUAAUAAUUAAUAACAGUUCAGAACAAUAACGUUUUUUUCAAAUAGUGAACAAGAUUGGUAUCUCACUCCUCGCUCCCAUCUCCCUAGUACCGUGCAUACUCCUCAGCAUGUCUGCUUGAGUAAAAGGCAUCAAAUUCUUUUAACGCCACAAAUUUCUCUUUGCUUUCAAGACAUGUCAAGGUGCCCAUGUUUUCAACAACAAAAAAACUGUCUUUGGCUGUUCGCAUCACUAACCUUUCUCUUCAUUGCAGGUUUUGAAAAAGACAUGACGGGUUGUAGGCGACAACCUCCUUGCACUUAGUGUCACUUCAGAAUUAUGUAUAAAAUAUCAUCCCACGGGCCGCAAAUUGCCCCAAGGCCAUGAGUUUCAGAUGUCCGGUUUCUAGGCUGUUGUUUACUCAUAGCCGUCAAUAAAAUAAGACAGAAACGAAAUGGAUGAAAUAAAACAAGUCAUCAUUUGAUAACGUCAGAUCGAGAGCGAAGCAAAACCAACUCCAACUUAUCAUAUUUACAUGCAGAAUAUCAACCCGCAACGCAUUUUAUUCUGGAAAAUGGCAAUCUUGGAAAAAAUUGAUAAAUUAGUACAAUAAAAACCUGACUUAACCAAAGCGUUCAUUUCAGGUCAUGCAAUGCAUAUCUUUCCAAUGUUUUUGCUGUUAAAAAUGGAAGACCAUCCCAUAAACUUUUCUGCCAACUAUUUGAGGAAGGCGCCUUUCCAUUCCAGUAGCACUGCACAAAACAAGGUCCAUAAAUAAAUACUGUACUGGUACAUGGAUUUGUUUGGGGUACAGAACCCUGUCAAACACACUCAGGAUGAACUAGAGCAGAAAUGAUGUAAUAACCCGGCCCCCAUCUCGCUCACAAAUGUUCUUCUGGAUGAAUGGACAAAAAUACCCCCAUACCCUCCAAAAUGUUAUGCAGCUUAAACGACCACGGGUCCCAAUACUUAUGUUCAUAUAUUGUAUGUUAACAAAUGUACAGUGAGCUUACACGAACACUAGCUAAACACAAAAGUUUCAGCUAUCUUAUACACAAAUUAUUUUAACAUAAUGUAAGGAGGUUUGUUAAUCGACAGAAGCAUAGAAUGGAAGUCAUUUACUGUUUGCUCCCUGCAGUGCAGAGACAUUUUAUUUAACACCUUAAUUCGAGAAAUUGCAGAUUUAGCAUGCUGCUUCAAGAGCUGCAGUCACGUUAACGCUUAGCAUGCCGGCUUCUUCAUGUUCAUCUGCACAUGGCUUUGAUUUCUGGGGUCUUGUAUGUGCCAUACAGUGAAGAACCAGUGCUUAAAAUUCCAUCUAAAGGAUUCUAUACCACUAUGUAGAGUACUGUAGAGUGCAUACAAAGGGUGUCAGAAAAGUUGCAAAACUGGUGUGACAAAAAUUAUAUUUCAAAUGUUAACUACAAGUUUUCCCUUUAAGUCUUAAAGUGCUUCCCUGGCCUCUCUGUGAUGCCUUCAUGGAGGGAUAUUUUUGGCCCUCCUCCGUAUCAUUCUGCUGGCCAUGUUGAGCUCACUCAUGUCUUCAAAACGGGACCCCUUGGUAAUUCCCUUGAGCUUGGGCAAAAGGAAAAAAAGUCACACACAGCCAUGUUUGGUAAGUAGGGAGGUUGCUCCGUGAGCACAGCGAUACUCUCCUGAGUCGGGAACUGUCAGGUGCUCAGGGCAUUGUGAGCAGGUGUGUUGACAUGGUGAAGCCCCACCAUAAGUCUCGCCUCUUCUUAUGCACUGAAUGAAGCAAGCGCAGCAGAAUCUCUGUGCUGGUAGAUCGUUGAUGCCUCUCACACAGAAGAAUGCGAUCAACAUGAUUUUGGACUUGGAUUUAAUUGUUUUCUUCAGACUUUUCCACCGAAGUCUCUGGCAUUUGGUCAUACUCGGAAGAAUUAUCACCGGUGUUGAUGCUCCCUAGCAAGUCUGGUCUCGUUACUCUCAUUACUCACUCUGGCAGUUCCUUGAUGGCCCGACAUGGGAGAUAUUUAUAUCAAAGCAUGUACACAAACCUUGAAGAGCUCCAGAGAGCUGAGCUCACAGUUAAGUAUUUUAAGGCAAUUGCAGUGAAGGGCAAGAAGUGUACUUUGUGAAAUGCAGUCCUGAAACUUUUCUGACACACCUCGUAAGGGAGCAUUCCACCACUGUGUGGGUAUGAGUAGGUCAGAGAAUAAGGAGAAAUUCAAGCACGUUGUUUAUCAAUCACAUCACCACAAUUUUCAGUUGCUGCUUUCUUCUCGCACACAUGGAAUUAGUUAUUCAGGUUAUCGUUUACUUUUCCAGUGUGUUCAUUCCCAUGAGGUUUACUUGGCCAGCGUGAAUGAUGUUAGUCUGACGUUUUGUUUUUUUAGUUUAUUCUGAUUUGUCCUCAAAAUACCGCCCUUACAAAACAGUGUCAACCCUUUCUUUCUCGAUAUUUUGCACGUGAGAUUAUGCACACCAUGGCACCCAACCAGCAUUUCCCCAAAAAACUAAAGGACCACUUUCACUGUCAGUCAUCCUCCUGCCACAUACCUGCUCUCUUUCCACUUCUUCCCUCUGUCACAAUUACAAGUACAUUCACAUACAAUUAUUGUAAUUUCGUCAGAUAAAGUUGCUUAUAGUUAAAACAACUUGGGUGUGUGACCCAAUGCACUGAUGCAUGUCUCCCUUUGAAGGUGUAUCCCUAUGAAAUGCUCGUGAUAACCAGUAGAGGGAGAGCUAAACUGCCCAGGGAUGUGGACAGAACCAGACUGGAGCGCCACUUAGCACCUGAAACGUUCUUUGACAUCUUUGGAAUGGAGAUCCAGGAGUUUGACAGGCUUCCCCUGUGGAAACGCAACGACAUGAAAAAGAAGGCCAAGCUUUUCUAGCGCUCGCAGCAGCAUGCGUCCACACACGUGCACAUUCAAACAAACCAUUCAUGAAAACAAUCAUCUGGGCUAGGCUUCGUUUUGUUUCCUUAAUUUCUUCUUGAUUUUUUUUUUUCUACCUUCUGACAUGAACUAUUUUGCUCGGACACUUCCUGAGACUCUGAGGUGAAUGGUGCAACUCAUUACAUUUGCACAGGGAACUCAUAAUCAAGAAUCAUUUCAUGUUAAAAAAUGACAAAGAAUGAAUGAUAAAUAGGAUGAUGACAUGUGUUGUGAUGGCGCUUGUUUUUUUUUCCUUGCUUUGCUUUCUUCCUUUUUAUGCUCGUUGCUUUCUGCUAUUUGUUGCUGUUGACCCCUGUUGAACUUUGUAAGUGCGGUAGAACUUUAUGACGCCACAGAAUGUCCACUCGCGUAGCCUGAAUAUACAUCUGCUUUCCUUUGCUGGGACCAAAAAAUAUUUGGUCCAAAGGUUGCAUCAGUUGGUUCAGUGAGUCUUUGAAUAAUAGUAAUAAUUAAAAAGAGAGAAAAAAAGAACACUGCGAAAGCAGUCAAGUGACCAGCCGAAACGGUUUUCCUGCCUCACAAUGAUAAUGAACGAUCCAAGCAUCUACACUCAGCCUUCAUAUCUGCCCUCCUGGACAGGCCAGCUUUCAUUAGAUCCUUAAAAAAAUAGAAAAUGACACUCCUCUCAGGCUUUCUGAAACAUGGCCGGGCAUUUACCCCUCACCUUUAUUGAAAAUACACAUCUUAAUAUAUUUUAUUGCCAUACCCAAUAUAAAGUAAGAGAUCAGUAGAUAAUAUAGCUAAUGUAAGCAAGCCUGUUUGACAGUAUUGUUUUAUACAGUGAUUGAAAAUACACGGUUGUUGUUUUGAAAACGAAGCCAAUAAAGCUUUAAAUCACCAUGAACAACACUA